Molecule: ribosomal RNA, 592 nt
Filed under: uncultured crenarchaeote
Lineage: Archaea; Thermoproteati; Thermoproteota
Description: bacterial SSU rRNA
Rfam family: Archaeal small subunit ribosomal RNA
Source: RNAcentral
GAAACUUAAAGGAAUUGGCGGGGGAGCACCACCAGGCGUGAAGCCUGCGGUUUAAUUGGAGUCAACGCCGGGAACCUUACCGGGAGCGACAGCAGAGUGAAGGCCAGGCUGAAGACCUUGCCAGACAAGCUGAGAGGAGGUGCAUGGCCGUCGCCAGUUCGUGCCGUGAGGUGUUCUCUUAAGUGAGAUAACGAACGAGACCCGUGCCACAUGUUGCCAUCAGAUCCUAUAGGGAUGCUGGGCACUUUUGUGGGACCGCAGCCGAUAAGGCUGAGGAAGGUGCGGGCAACGGCAGGUCAGUAUGCCCCGAAUCUCCCGGGCCACACGCGGGCUGCAAUGGUACGGACAGAGGGCUGCAACCCCGAAAGGGGAAGCCAAUCCCUAAACCGUAUCUCAGUUGGGAUUGAGGGCUGCAACCCGCCCUCAUGAACAUGGAAUGCCUAGUAACCGCACGUCAUCAUCGUGCAGUGAAUACGUCCCUGCUCCUUGCACACACUGCCCGUCGAACCACCCGAAUGUCGUUUUGAUGAGGCAUGGUCGAAAGUUGGCCGUGUCGAAUCUGGGCAACGUAAGGAGGGUUAAGUCGUAACAA